UUGAACCUUUAGGGUUCAAAAAAGAACCUUUAAGUGCAAAAAUGAACUUCUAGCUAUCAAAAAGGUUCAAAGUUGAACUUAAAGGUUCUAUAAUGAUCCACUGGUUAUUUGGCAGUUAUUUUAAGAACCUUUGUUGUGGUAAAAGGUUCAUAUUAGAACCUAGCAUAUUUAAGGUUCUUUCAUGAACCUUUUCUAAGAUGUACUGUAAAUAAAAAACAGUAAAGUUAGAACACAAUUUGCUUAACUGUUACAUUAGUAAAUUAUUUAUUUACACACUCAGAAUUAAUGAAUUUACUCUUAUUCAAUUACUAAUUGGGAUGUCAGAUGCAGUUGUGGCAACAUUGUUGAUACAAUGUGUUUCGUCUGUACUCAUGACCACCUCACAUAUCUCUAAAUUGCACAAUAAUCUUUAGUGCACCAUGUUGUUGUCCAUUUUUAGAACAUAAAUUAAAAAUCACAAAAAAACAAA
Carassius carassius (crucian carp) is the source of this 469-nucleotide long non-coding RNA. RefSeq lists it as uncharacterized. Lineage: Eukaryota; Metazoa; Chordata; Actinopteri; Cypriniformes; Cyprinidae. The record is from RefSeq and is a predicted model, not a curated record. The transcript has 2 exons.